RNAcentral lists this ribosomal RNA (468 nucleotides) under uncultured bacterium. RNAcentral describes it as "partial 16S ribosomal RNA". It matches the Rfam family "Bacterial small subunit ribosomal RNA", at positions 28 to 507 of the family's 1533-position model. The record is from RNAcentral.
GACGAACGCUGGCGGCGUGCUUAACACAUGCAAGUCGAACGGAAAGGCCCUGCUUUUGUGGGGGGCUCGAGUGGCGAAAGGGUGAGGAACACGUGAGUAACCUGCCCUGUACUUUGGGAUAACUUCAGGAAACUGGGGCUAAUACCGGAUAGGAGCUCCUGCUGCAUGGUGGGGGGUGGAAAGUUUCUGCGGUUGGGGAUGGACUCGCGGCUUAUCAGCUUGUUGGUGGGGUAGGGGCUUACCAAGGCUUUGACGGGUCGCCGGCCUGUGAGGGUGACCGGCCACACUGGGACUGAGAUACGGCCCAGACUCCUACGCGAGGCAGAAGUGGGGAAUAUUGCACAAUGGGCGGAAGCCUGAUGCAGCAACGCCGCGUGCGGGAUAAGGGCCUUCGGGUUGUAAACCGUUUUCGCCUGUGACGAAGCGUGAGUGACGGUAAUGGGUAAAGAAGCACCGGCUAACUACGUG